GGGAAGUUGAAGUAGCAAGAAGUUUUGAAAAGUGGAUGAGGGCCCUUAUUAAAAUAUCCCACAUACGUACGUUAGAAAAAGGCCAUUUUGACAUAAUUAGCCCAAAGUAAAAAUUUCUACUCUUAAAACAUUCCUGAUCACUUGAUCUAGAGGUCUUGACCUUGGUCAGUUUCAGGGAAAUUGGCUCAGUUUGCCAUCCCCAGCUCCUCAUUUUGUGUUCUUUAUUGUUCUCUAUCACUCAGGUGUACACAGCUCAAAGAUCUUUUCCCCCACUUUUGCUGCCCUAGCUCAAAUAUUUCAUUUAUAAUAUAUAUAAAUGCCUGCAAAUAGUUGACCUUCAAUAAGUGUUUGUUGACUGAAUAGCAGGUUAAAAUAUUGCCUCUCUUAUUAUUCUUGCAUUAAUUGUGAUCCUGUUUCUGAAGUUAUAAGCCAAAUUGCAGGUGUUAGCCAGUUGAUGGGAUUUGGGAAGGAUACAGAUACCCUCUGAUGUCCCUGAAAUUACACUGCACAUCUUUACCUUGACUCUAUUUAGCAUCUAAGAACCUUCAACCACAUUGAGCUUUAGUUAUAAAAGUGACUUUGCAGAUGUGUAUCCUUGCCCAAGACCUCUGAAAACCUAGGUCCUUGAUAUAUUUUUAAUAAUCAGCUCAUAUUCCUCCAAGAUGAGACUACAUAGUUUAACAUGAUUUAGUUAAAAUAUUAUCCUCCUUUACUGUGGAUUGGAAUAUGAACUCAAUGGUUGCAGUCAUAUCACAAAGAUCCGAAGCUCUAAUUGACAGCUCUAUGUCUUUGCACAGUUAAAAACAGGAGAACAAUUUAAUUAUUCCUUGACUAACAUAGCAGGUUUGGUAUGAAAAUAUUCCCAAAUGUAGGGUCUUGAGUAAAAAAAAGAAAACAAAUGGAUACUUGGUAAUAAAAAGCUUAGGAGCCCAUAUUCUAGUUCAAAACUUUACAAAAAUGAAAUAUUAACAAUAAUGAUUAAUGUUUAGUAAGCGUUAUCUUUUAGUCAUUGAGCUAAUAUCAUUUAAUUCCCCCCUGCCUCAAAAAUAAAACAAAAAUUUGGAGUGUAGAAUUUUUUUCCUCACCCUACAGAUGAAAAAGACUUAAUAUUUGGUCUGAAGAGGUUAUGUGACUUUUGUAGAUGCCACGCUUUAUCAAAGUAUGGUUGAUAUACCAAAAUGAUUGGACAUAUUUAGUGUAUGCAAUUUGAUGAGUUUGGAGAUAUGCAUGCACCCAUAAAACCAUCACACAAUCAAGGUAAUAAAAUAUCCAUCAACUCCAA
RNAcentral lists this long non-coding RNA (1282 nucleotides) under Equus caballus (horse). Its description in RNAcentral is "lncRNA (ENSECAG00000050717.1)". Lineage: Eukaryota; Metazoa; Chordata; Mammalia; Perissodactyla; Equidae. The record is from RNAcentral.